Neofelis nebulosa (Clouded leopard) is the source of this 367-nucleotide long non-coding RNA. RefSeq lists it as uncharacterized. The transcript has 2 exons. Lineage: Eukaryota; Metazoa; Chordata; Mammalia; Carnivora; Felidae. The record is from RefSeq and is a predicted model, not a curated record.
GGGGCACCCACAGCAGGAGCACCCAAGGUCGUCCAGAAAGGAGAGGUCAGGAGAGGCACGAAACUGGGCACAGAAGGACCAGAAUGAGAUGGGAAAAUGAAGGGUCUCUCGGAACUUUCUCUCCCUUUCUGGACGGUGCGGUGUGAAGUUUUGAGGUCUGCGACGGCUGGAAGGGACCAGAACUGCCAGGACUAUUGCACCGCGUCCGAGGGUAACACUCACAUUGUGAAAGGCAGUGCAGAGAGGCAGAGAGGAAACGGAUCGAGCUGAUAUUGUCUGAGUUGUUGGAUCAAUCCUCACCUCAAGCUAGAUGGCUGUGAAUUUUACAAUUUUACGAGCCAAUAAAUUCCUAUUAUUGUUUAAACCA